Molecule: long non-coding RNA, 1588 nt
Filed under: Junco hyemalis (dark-eyed junco)
Lineage: Eukaryota; Metazoa; Chordata; Aves; Passeriformes; Passerellidae
Description: lncRNA (ENSJHYG00000018028.1)
Source: RNAcentral
GGAAAGUUCUGCUUCUAAGAUCAUAAUCACAUAAUCACUCAUUAUUCUUUUAUGUUCUUUUUAUCUUUGUUUAUUUACAGAUGAUCCCUUCUAUAUAAUAUCUUGCCACUGGCAUAACUGCAACGUGUAUGACUCUGGUUUUUUGCACCUCACAAGCUGGAAGAAAGCAACUCACUAACAGAAAUUUCAUGCCACUUGAAGACACAUUCAUGUGUCUUCUUUUGUGUGGAAUGAUAAUAUUAACAGAGAAGGAUGCUUGAUUUCCUGUUUCUGACACUUCACCAGCUCCAGGAGGGAUUUUUUUUAUCAAUGGUGAAGGUGCUAGAUUUCUAAAAAUCCCCUCUUCUUAAUUUUUCUACCAUCCUCUGAGUGCCUAGCUUGCAAGUGGCAUGCCAGAGCAGCAUACUUCCAGCCUACAGGAUUAAAAGGGGAAGUCUAUUUUUGUGCUCAGCCUGAAUUUUGAGCAUAACCUGUUGUGGUGUUGAUGUGAGGGUCCCCAGGACAAGGUGAGAGAUAAGAAUUGACUCCAAGUUCUCAGAAGGCUGAUUUAUUAUAUUAUGGUAUUAUAUUAUAUUAAAAGAAAAUAAUAUACUAAAACAAUACUAAAGAAAGAGAAAGGUUACAGACAGAAGGCUAGAAAGGAAUGAUAAAAACCCAUGACUGACCAGAGAGUCUGACACAGCUGGACUCAGAUUGGCCAUUAAGUAAAAACAAUUCACGUGGAACCAAUCAAAGAUGGACCUGUUGUUAAACAAUCUCUAGACCACAUUCCAAGGAAUCAGAUAAUUAUGGUUACAUUUCUUUUCUGAGGCUUCUCAGCUUCUCAAGAGAAAAAUCCUGGCAAAGGGAUUUUUCAUAAAAUAUCAUGGUGACACAUAACCUAGAGGAAUAUGGGACUGCAGAUGCAUCUUCUGGGAUGUCCACUUGGCUGUACCUCCUGGUGCCUGAGAAUGUACCCUGAAUAUACUGACUACUGGGGGACAGUCAGAUGGAAACAAGAUGAAAUUUUGGAAGACUCAAGUGGUAUUGAACAGAGAAGCAGUGCAGGAGCACUGCCCAGAGGAAAAAAGAUGGAAGCACACCUAAAACAGGGAGAUGAAGAAAAGGAACUUUGCUUAGCUUUCUUUCUCCUGUCUGAGAGGCCUCAAGAACCUUCCUCAAGAUUCACAUCUAUUGGACAAGCUAUUCUUAACAGGAAAAUUGAAGGACCUGCUCCAGGAAUUAGGUAUACGUUCCAGCUUCCUGGCAAUAAAUAAUGGAAAAGGAUCUGAGUGAAGGUAUCACUCAACACAUAGGGUGUUUUCUUCCUUAAAGCCAGGAAGCCCAGUCUAUAUUUUCUGCUGCACUGCAGUCAUGGUGUAACCACAGUCACUAAAAAUUAACACACAGCCACUGGCUCUGUUCCCACCCCCAGUGGGAUGGGGAGAAGGAUCAGAAAAAGAUGAAACCCAUCAGUUUAAACAAGAACAGUUUAAUAAUUUCAUUAAAAUAUAAUUAAUAAUAAUCAUCAUCACCGUAGUUGUGAUGGAGAGAAAAGGAAAGAGAGAGAGAGAGAGAGGAAUAAAACCAAAGAAAGACAAAUGAUGCA